UGAAUACAAUCAAUGUUGACG
Molecule: non-coding RNA, 21 nt
Filed under: Caenorhabditis elegans
Lineage: Eukaryota; Metazoa; Nematoda; Chromadorea; Rhabditida; Rhabditidae
Source: RNAcentral